Molecule: ribosomal RNA, 408 nt
Filed under: uncultured bacterium
Lineage: Bacteria
Description: bacterial SSU rRNA
Rfam family: Bacterial small subunit ribosomal RNA
Source: RNAcentral
AAUCAACGCUGGCGGCGUGCCUCAGACAUGCAAGUCGAACGCGAAAGUUCCCUUCGGGGGGAUGAGUAGAGUGGCGCACGGGUGAGUAACACGUAGGUAAUCUACCUUCGGGUGGGGAAUAACCCAGGGAAACUUGGGCUAACACCGCAUAAUGCAGCGGCACCACAUGGUGACAGUUGUUAAAGCGGGGGAGUUUUAGGACCUCGCGCCUGAAGAGGAGCCUGCGGCAGAUUAGCAGUUGGUAAGGUAACGGCUUACCAAGGCGACGAUCUGUAUCCGGUCUAAGAGGGACGGUCGGACACACUGACACUGAAUAACGGGUCAGACUCCUACGGGAGGCAGCAGUCGGGGUAAUUUUGGGCAAUGGGCGAAAGCCUGACCCAGCAACGCCGCGUGAAGGAUGAAGUA